RNAcentral lists this ribosomal RNA (440 nucleotides) under uncultured bacterium. RNAcentral's name for it is "partial 16S ribosomal RNA". It matches the Rfam family "Bacterial small subunit ribosomal RNA", at positions 338 to 795 of the family's 1533-position model. The record is from RNAcentral.
CCUACGGGAUGCAGCAGUGGGGAAUAUUGCACAAUGGGGGAAACCCUGAUGCAGCGACGCCGCGUGAGUGAAGAAGUACUUCGUUAUGUAAAGCUCUAUCAGCAGGGAAGAAAAUGACGGUACCUGAGUAAGAAGCCCCGGCUAACUACGUGACAGCAGCCGCGGUAAUACGUAGGGGGCAGGCGUUAUCCGGAUUUACUGGGUGUAAAGGGAGCGUAGACGGCAGUGCAAGUCUGGAGUGAAAGGCGGGGGCGCAACCCCCGGACUGCUCUGGAAACUGUACGGCUGGAGUGCAGGAGAGGUAAGUGGAAUUCCUGGUGUAGCGGUGAAAUGCGUAGAUAUUACGAGGAACACCAGUGGCGAAGGCGGCUUACUGGACUGUAACUGACGUUGAGGCUCGAAAGCGUGGGGAGCAAACAGGAUUAGAUACCCGUGUAGUC